AACGAACGCUGGCGGCAGGCUUAACACAUGCAAGUCGAACGCUCCGCAAGGAGAGUGGCAGACGGGUGAGUAACACGUGGGAACGUACCCUUUACUACGGAACAACUCCGGGAAACUGGAGCUAAUACCGUAUGUGCCCUUCGGGGGAAAGAUUUAUCGGUAAAGGAUCGGCCCGCGUUGGAUUAGCUAGUUGGUGGGGUAAAGGCCUACCAAGGCGACGAUCCAUAGCUGGUCUGAGAGGAUGAUCAGCCACAUUGGGACUGAGACACGGCCCAAACCCCGACGGGAGGCAGCAGUGGGGAAUAUUGGACAAUGGGCGAAAGCCUGAUCCAGCCAUGCCGCGGGAGUGAUGAAGGUCUUAGGAUUGUAAAGCUCUUUCACCGGGGACGAUAAUGACGGUACCCGGAGAAGAAGCCCCGGCUAACUUCGUGCCAGCCGCCGCGGUAA
This 447-nucleotide ribosomal RNA is filed under the name uncultured bacterium. RNAcentral describes it as "partial 16S ribosomal RNA". It matches the Rfam family "Bacterial small subunit ribosomal RNA", at positions 29 to 523 of the family's 1533-position model. The record is from RNAcentral.